AGCGUCUGAGUUGGGGGCGCUCGGCGGGGACUUCCGCGGAGCAGGCGGGGGCGCGGGAGCAGCGCGCAGCUGUCCGCCCGGGUUCACCUGGGCGCCCGGGGUCACCGCCUCUGCCUGAGGACACGUUGCCGCGGGCUCCAGGGGACGCGGGUUCAUCCCAGCGCCCAAGUGUAACCUCCCCGCCCUUCGCUCGCUCACGUAGUCCCGGGUUUCGGGACGCGGAGUGCUGGCGAGGAGGCCGCUCGCGGCCCCGGCGGGGCCGGGGGAUAAACAAUCGCACAGGAUACACGACACCCUGGACUGUCACAAGUCCCUCGCAGGAAAAGAUAAAUAACAUCUGAGGAGCCGCGGCGCAGCUUCCCCGGCCGGACAGAAACUCGGCGAGAAAUUCCUCCUGAGGGCACAUUUCCGAUAUACCACGUGUACAAGAAUCCCCACCUCAGCUCUACUUCUGGGGAACUGACCCACAGCGUGGGGCUGGCUGACAUUUGUGAACGGAGAAAGCAGAGCUUGGAAAGACCAACCAGUCCCUCCUAAGCCCCUGGCAGCUGGAAGAACAUGGGUCUGCCCCAUGGAGUUUCUCUGCCAUUGACUUCCGGCCCCAGGGUGCUCGGCCAAAACCAUCCCUCAAGAAAAUGAUGAAGAGACAAUGAAUUCAAGUCAGUGUUACUUGAUCAACCAGAUAGUAAAUUUAAGGUGACCUGACCGUAGAGUCUCUGGAUUAAUCGGAAAACGUCUAUAAUUUCCAAAGAAAAAUUACCAACAAUUUCAAGGGUAAGAGAAUUGCUUUUCCAUAUGUCCUUGAAAUUGUUAAAAGCCAUUUUAUUUUCCAGUCUAGUACAGGAAAGGUUGGGGGGGGGUAGCUGAUUUGUUUUAAAAAGUAAAUUGACAAAAAUCCAUAGGUAUGUGGAAACUUUGUAAAAUUAUAAAUUUCCUUCUUAUACCAUAGCAAAGGAUAAACAUGAGUUGAGUAAUUUUUAUUUGAUUAGAUAAUUUCAGGCAGAUUUUACAUUCAGAAGCUUCAUUUUGGUAGCUUAAAUGCAAAAGGCUUUGGUGAUCAUUUGCAAAGAUGUUGUUAAACUUUCCAUUUUUUUUUUUUUUCUGUUUUAUUCUAAUUCCAGCAUAGUUAACAGUGUUAGUUUCAGGUAUACAAAGAGUGAUUCACCAAUUCCAUAUAUUACUCCGUGCCCACUAAGAUAAGUGCCUUCUUGACCCCCACACCUUUGAAUUUAAAAUUCUAUUUGCAUGUAUUACUGUUUUUAAAGGGAGAGCUACCGUUUCAGGGGUGACUGGCUGGCUCUGUUGGUGGGACUUGUGACUCUUGAUCUCGGCAUUGUGUUUAAGCCCCAUGUUGGGUACAGGGGUAAUUUAAAAAUAAAAUCUUAAAUAGAUAAAAACAAAACAAAAUGGCAGCUAUUAUUUCAAAGCCUUAAUUAAUCUAAUUGUAACUGCAGUGUAAUUGUUUCUUCAAAUGAGAUGCGGGACUCAAUUCCAGGACCCCGGGAUCAUGACCUGAAUCAAAGGCAGACACUUAGCUGACUGA
Mustela lutreola (European mink) is the source of this 1543-nucleotide long non-coding RNA. RefSeq lists it as uncharacterized. The transcript has 3 exons. The record is from RefSeq and is a predicted model, not a curated record. NCBI's taxonomy places the organism in Eukaryota, Metazoa, Chordata, Mammalia, Carnivora, Mustelidae.